This 72-nucleotide transfer RNA is filed under the name Eubacterium sp. Its description in RNAcentral is "tRNA-Gly". It matches the Rfam family "tRNA". Rfam says of the family: Transfer RNA (tRNA) molecules are approximately 80 nucleotides in length. The record is from RNAcentral. Lineage: Bacteria; Bacillati; Bacillota; Clostridia; Eubacteriales; Eubacteriaceae.
GCAGGCAUAAUAUAAUGGUUAAUAUGUUAGCUUGCCAAGCUAAAAAUGUGGGUUCAAUUCCCACUGUCUGCU